CCGCGCGCGGGCCCGGGCUCUUUGGGCGG
This 29-nucleotide non-coding RNA is filed under the name Cricetulus griseus (Chinese hamster). Lineage: Eukaryota; Metazoa; Chordata; Mammalia; Rodentia; Cricetidae. The record is from RNAcentral.